GACGAACGCUGGCGGCGUGCUUAACACAAGCAAGUCGAACGGAAAGGCCCUGCCUUUGUGGGGUGCUCGAGUGGCGAACGGGUGAGUAACACGUGAGUAACCUGCCCUUGACUUUGGGAUAACUUCAGGAAACCGGGGCUAAUACCGGAUAGGAGCUUCUGCUGCCUGGUGGGGGUUGGAAAGUUUCGGCGGUUGGGGAUGGACUCGCGGCUUAUCAGCUUGUUGGUGGGGUAGUGGCUUACCAAGGCUUUGACGGGUAGCCGGCCUGAGAGGGUGACCGGCCACAUUGGGACUGAGAUACGGCCCAGACUCCUACGGGAGGCAGCAGUGGGGAAUAUUGCACAAUGGGCGGAAGCCUGAUGCAGCAACGCCGCGUGCGGGAUGACGGCCUUCGGGUUGUAAACCGCUUUCGCCUGUGACGAAGCGUGAGUGACGGUAAUGGGUAAAGAAGCACCGGCUAACUACGUG
This 468-nucleotide ribosomal RNA is filed under the name uncultured bacterium. RNAcentral's name for it is "partial 16S ribosomal RNA". It matches the Rfam family "Bacterial small subunit ribosomal RNA", at positions 28 to 507 of the family's 1533-position model. The record is from RNAcentral.